RNAcentral lists this ribosomal RNA (359 nucleotides) under uncultured Leptotrichia sp. RNAcentral describes it as "bacterial SSU rRNA". It matches the Rfam family "Bacterial small subunit ribosomal RNA", at positions 403 to 776 of the family's 1533-position model. The record is from RNAcentral. Lineage: Bacteria; Fusobacteriati; Fusobacteriota; Fusobacteriia; Fusobacteriales; Leptotrichiaceae.
GCACGAAGACGGUUUUCGGAUUGUAAAGUGCUUUCAGCAGGGAAGAAGGAAGUGACGGUACCUGCAGAAGAAGCGACGGCUAAAUACGUGCCAGCAGCCGCGGUAAUACGUAUGUCGCGAGCGUCAUCCGGAAUUAUGGGGCAUAAAGGGCAUCUAGGCGGCCUUUCAAGUCAGGGGUGAAAACCUGCGGCUCAACCGCAGGCCUGCCUUUGAAACUGAUAGGCUGGAGUACCGGAGAGGUGGACGGAACUGCACGAGUAGAGGUGAAAUUCGUAGAUAUGUGCAGGAAUGCCGAUGAUGAAGAUAGUUCACUGGACGGUAACUGACGCUGAAGUGCGAAAGCCGGGGGAGCGAACAGG